CCUACGGGGGCUGCAGUGGGGAAUAUUGGACAAUGGGCGAAAGCCUGAUCCAGCCAUGCCGCGUGUGUGAAGAAGGCCUUCGGGUUGUAAAGCACUUUCAGUGGGGAAGAAAGCCUUGGGGCUAAUACCCUCGAGGAAGGACAUCACCCACAGAAGAAGCACCGGCUAACUCCGUGCCAGCAGCCGCGGUAAUACGGAGGGUGCGAGCGUUAAUCGGAAUUACUGGGCGUAAAGCGCGCGUAGGCGGUCUGAUAAGCCGGUUGUGAAAGCCCCGGGCUCAACCUGGGAACGGCAUCCGGAACUGUCAGGCUAGAGUGCAGGAGAGGAAGGUAGAAUUCCCGGUGUAGCGGUGAAAUGCGUAGAGAUCGGGAGGAAUACCAGUGGCGAAGGCGGCCUUCUGGACUGACACUGACGCUGAGGUGCGAAAGCGUGGGUAGCAAACAGGAUUAGAUCCCCUUGUAGUC
Molecule: ribosomal RNA, 464 nt
Filed under: Vreelandella stevensii
Lineage: Bacteria; Pseudomonadati; Pseudomonadota; Gammaproteobacteria; Oceanospirillales; Halomonadaceae
Description: partial 16S ribosomal RNA
Rfam family: Bacterial small subunit ribosomal RNA
Source: RNAcentral